UCUCUAUUAUGAUGGGAUUGGGGGCAUACGUUUGUCAUUAAAACUUUCUGACUCUAGCCAAACACCUAUAGAGAUUGGAUUGGAUCUGGAGAAAUUGUUGCAGAAGGUUAUUUUAUUUCAAGUGACCCAAAGGAUGAGGUUCACCAUGUUCCUCUUGGGCCUAGUGCUAUGAAAGUGGGGAUAGAUCUUGUGAGAAAGAAUGAUGCAUUUCUGUGGAGGCCUUCAACAGUUAUGUCUACUAUAGAAGAUGCUAUAGCUAAGCAAAUGGACUCACAACAAAGACAAGUGCACAAAGGAUGAUGAAUUGAAGGAUGGAGCAAGUUUCAUUUACUUUUGUGUAUCUUGUAAUGUUUCUAUUUUUCAUUUUUGAAGUAAAAAUUGUUCAAGAUUAUAAAACUUUAUUAUGUUAUGCUUUCAAACUUAAGUUAGAAC
Long non-coding RNA from Humulus lupulus (European hop), 432 nucleotides. RefSeq lists it as uncharacterized. The record is from RefSeq and is a predicted model, not a curated record. The transcript has 3 exons. NCBI's taxonomy places the organism in Eukaryota, Viridiplantae, Streptophyta, Magnoliopsida, Rosales, Cannabaceae.